GGUCCCUACGUUUUCCAACAAGAAUACCAGUGUUAGCUAUGCAAAUAAUCUGGGACUCUGUGGAGAACCAUUAUCGAGAUCCUGCCCCGGUGUUCCAAGAAAAUCCAGUGUCGGAAUAAUUGCUGCUGCAGCCGCUGGUGGGAUAACAUUUACAGCUAUUAUUGUGGGUAUUCUUCUCUACUACUUCUCUCGUGGAGCGGCUAAGAAGAAGGAAGAUGACCCUGAAGGUAACAAGUGGGCCAAGAGCAUAAAAGGAACUAAAGGCAUCAAGGUUUCCAUGUUCGAGGAGUCCAUUACGAAGAUGAGGUUGAGUGAUCUCAUGAAGGCAACUAACAACUUUAGCAAAGUCAAUAUCAUUGGAGAAGGAAGAACCGGAACCAUGUACAAAGCAAUGAUUCCAGAUGGUAUUUCCCUCAUGGUCAAGAGGCUGCAAGACUCUCAACACUUGGAGAAAGAAUUUGUGUCAGAGAUGAAUACACUUGGGAGUGUCAGACACCGCAAUUUGGUUCCCCUGUUGGGUUUUUGCAUGGCUAAGAAGGAGAAACUUUUGGUCUACAAAUACAUGGAGAACGGAACACUCUAUGACAAACUGCAUCCAGUGGAACCAGAGGUCAGAAACAUGGAUUGGCCCCUAAGGCUCAAAAUUGCGAUUGGAGCAGCUAAAGGUUUAGCAUGGCUUCAUCAUAACUGCAACCCUCGAAUUAUUCACAGAAACAUAAGCUCCAAAUGCAUACUGCUGGAUGAGAAUUUUGAGCCAAAGCUGUCUGAUUUCGGCCUUGCAAGGCUGAUGAAUCCAGUUGACACCCAUUUGAGUACCUUCGUGAAUGGGGAGUUUGGGGACUUGGGCUAUGUAGCUCCCGAGUAUCCACGGACCCUGGUAGCCACCCUGAAGGGGGAUGUUUAUAGCUUUGGGGUAGUUCUUCUGGAGUUGGUCACGGGUGAAAAACCCACUCAUGUUGCCAAUGCCCCUGAAACCUUCAAGGGAAGUUUAGCAGAGUGGAUCACGCAGCUUUCAAGUAAUUCUCUCCUUCAUACUGCCAUCGAUAAGUCUUUGCUCGGGAAUGAUUUUGAUAGCGAACUCAAACAGUUUCUUAGAGUUGCUUGUAACUGUGUGGUUCCAACUGCAAAGGAGAGGCCUACCAUGUUUGAGGUGUACCAGCUUCUGAGAGCUGUUGGGGAAAGAUAUCACUUCACAACAGAGGAUGAAAUGAUGUUGCCAUCCGAAACUGGUGAUGCUGAUUCUCCUGAUGAACUUAUUGUUGCUCAAUAUGUGAAGGAGGCUCAAUGAAAGGCAGGCAGAGUGUGAUGCUAAUAUAAAAAGGCAAUUGAAGAUAUUUAACUUCUUGGUGCCGCAGUGUAGCAUCUAGGAUUGUAUGUAAUAUACUCAAUAGUAUUUUAAGCUCCUAUGUUCACUUUUCUAUUGAUAGAAACACCAAUUGUAUAUAUACUAC
RNAcentral lists this unclassified non-coding RNA (1451 nucleotides) under Hevea brasiliensis (rubber tree). Lineage: Eukaryota; Viridiplantae; Streptophyta; Magnoliopsida; Malpighiales; Euphorbiaceae. The record is from RNAcentral.